Molecule: ribosomal RNA, 819 nt
Filed under: uncultured eukaryote
Lineage: Eukaryota
Description: SSU rRNA
Rfam family: Eukaryotic small subunit ribosomal RNA
Source: RNAcentral
CGGUGUUUAACUGGCGUGAUGUGGGACGUCCUACCGGUGGGCUUAGCCUCGCGAGGGGCGGCCCAACUAAUAUCCCGUCGCGGUGCUCUUUACUGAGUGUCGAGUCGGGCCGGUACGUUUACUUUGAACAAAUUAGAGUGCUUAAAGCAGGCUAUCCUCGCCUGAAUACUGCGUGCAUGGAAUAAUGGAAUAGGACCUCGGCUCUAUUUUGUUGGUUUUCGGAACCCCGAGGUAAUGAUUAAUAGGGACAGAUGGGGGCAUUCGUAUUGCGACGUUAGAGGUGAAAUUCUUGGAUCGUCGCAAGACGGACAGAAGCGAAAGCAUUUGCCAAAAAUGUUUUCAUUAAUCAAGAACGAAAGUUAGAGGUUCGAAGGCGAUCAGAUACCGCCCUAGUUCUAACCAUAAACGAUGCCAGCUAGCGAUCCGCCGAAGUUCCUCCGAUGACUCGGCGGGCAGCUUCCGGGAAACCAAAGCUUUUGGGUUCCGGGGGAAGUAUGGUUGCAAAGCUGAAACUUAAAGGAAUUGACGGAAGGGCACCACCAGGAGUGGAGCCUGCGGCUUAAUUUGACUCAACACGGGAAACCUCACCAGGCCCAGACACCGGAAGGAUUGACAGAUUGAUAGCUCUUUCUUGAUUCGGUGGGUGGUGGUGCAUGGCCGUUCUUAGUUGGUGGAGCGAUUUGUCUGGUUAAUUCCGAUAACGAACGAGACUCUAGCCUGCUAAAUAGGCGUACCUUAUGGUAUCGCGAAGGCCCCCGGCUUCGGCCGGUGGGUUUUUACUACCAACGUACAAACAAAUCUUCUUAGAGGGACAGGCGG